GCUGGGUAUGGUGGCUCAUACCUGUAAUCCCAGCACUUUGGGGAGUUGAGGCAGGAGGAUUCCUUGAGCCCAGGAAUUCGAGGUGGCUGUGAGCUAUGAUCACACCACUGCACCCUAGCCUGGGCAACAGAGCAAGACCCUGUCUCAA
This 148-nucleotide non-coding RNA is filed under the name Gorilla gorilla gorilla (western lowland gorilla). The record is from Rfam by way of RNAcentral. Lineage: Eukaryota; Metazoa; Chordata; Mammalia; Primates; Hominidae.